UGGAACUUAGAACAAUUAUUGAUAUAUGAUCAGCUCUCAGUAUGUGUAAACUAUGACAUGCAGGCCAAUUCACCUAGAAAGGCCUAUUUUCAAAAGCUCAUGUCCUCUGAAUUGAGGAACCACAGAUCAGAUCAGCCUCUUCAACCCCCCGCGAGGCUCCCAUUCAUGUAAGACACCCAUGGCUUUGUAAUGGCACCCAACGCUCUGGGCUGGCAUGAAAAUUGUGUGACUCACAUCAUGUGCCUCCCCAAGAAGAGUUUCUUAGCAGGCAUUUUGGAGGAAAAGAUUUGGAUCAGAAAUUCAGAAAUUACCUGGGCUCACAAAUAUAUGCCCCUCCAGCACCAUCCUGCAUUCUGCUUCCAAGAUACAUGAGCUUUCUGAAGAGCUGGUGAGAAUGCUGAAACUUCCUGGCCUUGGUUUCCCAUCUGGUAAAAUGAGGAAGACCAAAGCUUAACUCUCACAAGGAAUAUGCAGAUGAGGAAACCGAAGCUCUUGGGGUAACACGACUUGUGAAACUGCAUGCUACUCCUCAGUGGCAGGGUGGGGACUCUGGACAGAGGAACUGGCAAGGUCUUCUAGACCUUUGACGUGCAUAAACUGGCAGGUUUACAGAAUAACGAGGAAAACAAAGUGAAACAAAAGACUGUACCCGUGUGCUAAGAAUUUAUUACCCGCACAUCAAAAAACUUAUCCAUCACGAUCAAGCUGGCUUCAUCCCUGGGAUGCAAAGCUGGCUCAGCAUAUGCAAAUCAAUAAACAUAAUCCGUCACAUAAACAGAACCAAAGACAAAAACCACAUGGUUAUCUCAGUAGAUGCAGAAAAGGCCUUUGAUAAAAUUCAACAUCCCUUCAUGUUAAAAACUCAAUAAACUAGAUAUUGAUGGAACAUAUCUCAAAAUAAAAGAGCUGUUUAUGACAAACCCACAGCCAAUAUCAUAUUGAAUGGGCAAAAGCUGGAAGCAUUCCCUUUGAAUACUAGUACAAGCCUGUUUCCUAUUGUUCAAACUUCAGUGGAAAAUGAGACCAGAUGUUCAUAAGAAGAGCCUCAUUCUUGUGUACCUGGAGUUUGCUGGAGUGCAGUGGUGUGAUCACAGCUCACUGCAGCCUCAACCUCCUGGGUUCAAGCGAUCCUCCCACCUGUGCCUCCUGAGUAGCUGGGACUAUAUGAACACACUGCUAUGCCUAGCUUAUUUUUUAUUUUUUAUUUUUAGUAGAGAUGAGGUCUUGCCAUGUUGCCCAGGCUGGUCUCAAACUCCUGGUCUCAAGCUAUCCUUCCAGCUCAGCUUUCCAAAGUGCUGGGAUUACAGACACGAGCCACCACACAUGGUCAACUUUUUUUUAAAAAAAAUACCAAAUCAAUAAAGUCAACUGAAUUGAAUUUAACUCAACAUCUAUUGUGUAUGAUUUGUAAUAUUUUUAAAUUUUUCCAAAAUUUUAA
This 1438-nucleotide long non-coding RNA is filed under the name Homo sapiens (human). RNAcentral's name for it is "HSALNT0292866". Lineage: Eukaryota; Metazoa; Chordata; Mammalia; Primates; Hominidae. The record is from RNAcentral.